AGAUUGAACGCUGGCGGCAUGCCUAACACAUGCAAGUCGAACGGGAGUAGCAAUACUCUAGUGGCGGACGGGUGAGGAAUACGUAGGAAUUUGCCCUUAAGUGGGGGAUAACCCGGGGAAACCCGGAUUAAUACCGCAUGACCUCGAAAGAGCAAAGGUGGGGGAUCGCAAGACCUCACGCUUUUGGAGAAGCCUACGUCGGAUUAGCUAGUUGGUGAGGUAAUGGCUCACCAAGGCGACGAUCCGUAACUGGUCUGAGAGGAUGAUCAGUCACACCGGAACUGAGACACGGGUCCGGACUCCGUACGGGAGGCAGCGAGGUAGGGGAAUAGUUAGGACAACGUGGGACGACGAAGCCUGGAACUACCGAGACAUCGCCG
RNAcentral lists this ribosomal RNA (380 nucleotides) under uncultured soil bacterium. RNAcentral's name for it is "bacterial SSU rRNA". It matches the Rfam family "Bacterial small subunit ribosomal RNA", at positions 26 to 399 of the family's 1533-position model. The record is from RNAcentral.